GAUAAACGCUGGCGGCGUGCUUAACACAUGCAAGUCGAACGAUCAGGCCCAACUUUCUGGUUUGAGUUGUUGCCAACGGGCGGGUAAGACGCGAGUAAACUGCCCUUAUCUCUGACAUAAGCCUCUUAGACUAGCUCUAGUACCUGAUAGGAGCUUCUUCCACCUGCUUGGUGUUGGAAAGAUUUAUCGGCUUUGGAUGGACUCGCGACGUAUCAGCUUGUUGUUGAGGUGAUGGUUCACCAAGGCGACGACGGGUCGCCGGCCAGAGAGGGUGACCGGCGACACUGGGACUGAGACACGGCGCAGACUCGUACGGGAGGCAGCAGUGGGGAAUAUUGCACAAUGGGGGCAAGCCUGAUGCAGCGACGCCGCGUGAGGGAUGACGGCUUUCGGGUUGUAAACCUCUUUCAGUAGGGAAGAAGAGAAAGUGACGGUACCUGAAGAAGAAGCACCGGCUAACUACGUG
RNAcentral lists this ribosomal RNA (466 nucleotides) under uncultured bacterium. RNAcentral's name for it is "partial 16S ribosomal RNA". It matches the Rfam family "Bacterial small subunit ribosomal RNA", at positions 28 to 507 of the family's 1533-position model. The record is from RNAcentral.